Molecule: long non-coding RNA, 1242 nt
Organism: Manihot esculenta (cassava)
Lineage: Eukaryota; Viridiplantae; Streptophyta; Magnoliopsida; Malpighiales; Euphorbiaceae
Exons: 4
Source: RefSeq, a predicted model, not a curated record
UUGUCUCAUUGUCUGCUAAAAUAGUUAAAAAGUUUAUAAUGUUUUAUAUUCACCCAUAUGCUCAUGAUAAUAGCAGAGUGCCAUAGUUUCAGUCAUGAAAAGCCCGUACUCUUCUCUCCUAUCCCAUGCACAGACACUUGCAUUGCCUCAAACCUAUUUUUGUUUGUUCAUGAUUGAGCGGUCAUAUUGGAAACUUGGUAAGGUUCUGUCUUUUGCUUCAUUCCCAUCCACAUGGCUGAAUCUGAAUAUUCUUUUUCUGAUGUGAUUUAUGUGAACUCUCAAGAAUUAAGGAAUCAAGAGUCGAAGCUUGAAUUCUCUGAGGACGAGGAAGAGCUUUUAAUUAGGAUGUUUAAUCUAGUUGGAAAGAGUUUCGAGAUAAUUUCUUGGAGAAACCGGAGCUGAACCCGUAAUCCCCACAAGGGUGGUCCCAAUGUUGAAAGUGACAGGCUUGUACUUUGAGUGAAGUUCUGAAACAUGGGAAACUGGGAGCAGUGGCGGUGCAUGUAUACACAGAGAAUCGUUGCUCCCUUUGACGUGAAUUUAAUGGAACUCAGCCUUAGACAUAAACCUCAUUUUCCAUUGCUUUUUGACUGCAUUACCCCCUUCAUUUUCUCUCUUUUUUUCUCUGCGUUUCUUUUUCUGUCUCUCGGUUGCAGAUUAAAGCUAGUGCCUUUCUAUGGAUCGCCCAGCUGAAGGUAUUAAUGUCACUGAUGGACAAGAGAAGCAUUACAGAAUAAAGCUGGGAACCCCAAUCGCCAAGCUCCUUCGUUAUUAUUGUGACACCAAGCAAUUGGAAUAUUAUACGAUGGUGUUUUUAAUCAAAGGCAGACGCUUCAACCAAACGAAAACACCAGCUGAGGUUCCUUUUUUUUUUUUAAAUUGUGGUUUGGUGAUUAUUCAUUUUAAAAUACAAGUUUUGGUUUGCAAAUUUGUAGCUCAAUCUAAAGGAUGGUGUUCAAAUUGAAGCCUUCAUGCACCAGAAUGGAGGAGGCUGCAAGGGCGUUUGAGCCCACAAUGUCUGCCAAUAGAAGUUGCCUCUAAUUCUUAUUGCAUUAGCAAAGUCAUUAGUUUUAGUUUCUACUGAAUCGGCACACCUUCAUUAGGUUAAAUAUUGGACAUUUGUUCUUAAACCUGGUUUUUGUUAUGGCAUGACUUGUGGCUCGGGGGAAAAAAAAGAGUUUGUCUUCGCAAUGCUUUUUUACUAAUGAUUAUUUUGGAAAUUGGAGCUGGUUUAAUACUUAA